RNAcentral lists this non-coding RNA (26 nucleotides) under Rattus norvegicus (Norway rat). The record is from RNAcentral. Lineage: Eukaryota; Metazoa; Chordata; Mammalia; Rodentia; Muridae.
UCCGGUCACGAUAUGAAUUGCAAAAA